CUUGGAAUGUGGCCACUACAUCAAGAAAUUAAGACACUAUGCUGCAGGAAUUUGGCCAGUCCAAUAGCCACCCCCACUAAUCAAACAUGGUUAGUGAAACUCCAUAUCAAGUAUUUACAUUUCCUCAGGAAAAAAAAAAAAAAUUAUGUCUACUAA
Molecule: long non-coding RNA, 156 nt
Filed under: Mustela putorius furo (domestic ferret)
Lineage: Eukaryota; Metazoa; Chordata; Mammalia; Carnivora; Mustelidae
Description: lncRNA (ENSMPUG00000026866.1)
Source: RNAcentral